AGAGUUUGAUCCUGGCUCAGAUUGAACGCUGGCGGUAUGCCUUACACAUGCAAGUCGAACGGUAGAGGAGCAAUCCUCGAGAGUGGCGAACGGGUGAGUAAUACAUCGGAACGUGCCCAGUCGUGGGGGAUAACGUAGCGAAAGCUACGCUAAUACCGCAUACGACCCGAGGGUGAAAGCGGGGGACUCGCAAGAGCCUCGCGCGAUUGGAGCGGCCGAUGGCAGAUUAGGUAGUUGGUGGGGUAAAGGCCCACCAAGCCUGCGAUCUGUAGCUGGUCUGAGAGGACGACCAGCCACACUGGGACUGAGACACGGCCCAGACUCCUACGGGAGGCAGCAGUGGGGAAUUUUGGACAAUGGGCGAAAGCCUGAUCCAGCCAUACCGCGUGCGGGAAGAAGGCCUUCGGGUUGUAAACCGCUUUUGUCAGGGAAGAAAUACUUCGGGCUAAUACCCUGGGGUGAUGACGGUACCUGAAGAAUAAGCACCGGCUAACUACGUGCCAGCAGCCGCGGUAAUACGUAGGGUGCAAGCGUUAAUCGGAAUUACUGGGCGUAAAGCGUGCGCAGGCGGUUCUAUAAGACAGAUGUGAAAUCCCCGGGCUCAACCUGGGAACUGCAUUUGUGACUGUAGAGCUAGAGUACGGUAG
Molecule: ribosomal RNA, 647 nt
Filed under: uncultured bacterium
Lineage: Bacteria
Description: bacterial SSU rRNA
Rfam family: Bacterial small subunit ribosomal RNA
Source: RNAcentral